This 545-nucleotide ribosomal RNA is filed under the name Cladophora sp. D23. Its description in RNAcentral is "eukaryotic LSU rRNA". It matches the Rfam family "Eukaryotic large subunit ribosomal RNA", at positions 44 to 603 of the family's 3401-position model. Lineage: Eukaryota; Viridiplantae; Chlorophyta; Ulvophyceae; Cladophorales; Cladophoraceae. The record is from RNAcentral.
CAAUAAGCGGAGGAAAAGAAACCAACAGGGAUUCCCUUAGUAACGGCGAGCGAAAAGGGAUGAGCCCAGCAUGUAAAUCUCCGGUUUCCGGCGAAUUGUAGUCUGGAGUAGCAACUCCUGGUGCCGUGCCGGCCCAAGCAUCUUGGAAUAGAUCGCCUCAGAGGGUGAGAGCCCCGUAGGUCGGUACGAGCUCCUGCACGGAGUGCUCACGCAGAGUCGGGUUGUUUGGGAAUGCAGCCCCAAUUGGGUGGUAAACCCCAUCUAAGGCUAAAUACCUGUGGGAGACCGAUAGCAAAAAAGUACCUCGAGGGAACGAUGAAAAGACCGCUGGCAAGCGAGUGAAAGAGUGCAUGAAAUUGUAUAGUGGGAAGGGAUGGCCUGGCGUAUUGCCCGCGGGUAUACACUGCUCUUUGAGCUCUUGAAUACACCGUGGGCUGGCUGGUGCCGACACCUGCGCUUGCAAAUCCCCAAACUAAGGUGUUUGGCUCUUCAAGCGCGGGUGUUGAGGUUGAUCGUCGCUUUGUUUUAAACUGCGUCGACAUAGC